RNAcentral lists this ribosomal RNA (492 nucleotides) under uncultured bacterium. RNAcentral's name for it is "partial 16S ribosomal RNA". It matches the Rfam family "Bacterial small subunit ribosomal RNA", at positions 28 to 507 of the family's 1533-position model. The record is from RNAcentral.
GAUGAACGCUAGCUACAGGCUUAACACAUGCAAGUCGAGGGGCAGCGGUAUCGAAAGCUUGCUUUCGGUAGCCGGCGACCGGCGCACGGGUGAGUAACGCGUAUCGAACCUGCCUCAUACUCGGGAAUAGCCUUGCGAAAGUAAGAUUAAUGCCCGGUGUUUUCAGAGUCCCGCAUGAGGCUUUGAACAAAGAUUUAUCGGUAUGAGAUGGCGAUGCGUCCCAUUAGCUUGUUGGCGGGGUAACGGCCCACCAAGGCAUCGAUGGGUAGGGGUUCUGAGAGUAAGGUCCCCCACAUUGGAACUGAGACACGGUCCAAACUCCUACGGGAGGCAGCAGUGAGGAAUAUUGGUCAAUGGGCGGAAGCCUGAACCAGCCAAGUAGCGUGCAGGAAGGCGGCCCUCCGGGUUGUAAACUGCUUUUAGUAGGGAAUAAAACGGGGCUCGUGAGCCCCCUUGCAUGUACCAUCAGAAAAAGGACCGGCUAAUUCCGUG